This 27-nucleotide non-coding RNA is filed under the name Homo sapiens (human). The record is from RNAcentral. Lineage: Eukaryota; Metazoa; Chordata; Mammalia; Primates; Hominidae.
UCCCAAAACUGGCCACUCUGUUAAUGA